AUGGCCGAAUGCUUCAAUAGGGUGCUCAAAGGUGCACAUGGAUUACCCGUGACGGCAAUAGUUCAAUACACAUUUGACAAGAUGAAUGCGUACUUUGUAAAGUACUCGAUGGAAACCGAUGCACAAAUAGCGGGUGAGAACCCACGGAAGUACAAGUACAAGUUCCCACCCAAAGUUGAUGAAUGGUUGGUAUUUCAAUCACGGAAGGCGGACUCAGAAGAAGCUAUAUUAUAUGACAACGAAGAGUGGAAGUACGAAGUGAAAGAGCCAGGAGGAACCACAAACGAUGGCCGGCAACAUGGAGGUCGGGCUUUCAAGGUGUCGUUAACACAAUGUGAUUGCACUUGCGGGAGGCCAUUGUUGCUUCAUCUCCCAUGCUCACAUUUGUAUGCCGCCGGUCGCGUUAGGAAUGUGGACAUCAAUCACCCACGCACCAUGAGGGAGUCGAAGUUCUCAAUCAUGACAGUCAAGAAAACAUGGGCUCCCCGCUUUCACCCAUACUUUGACCAAUCACAAUGGCCGGAGUAUCAUGGAGUUCAACUAUGGCCGUUUCCG
Molecule: ribosomal RNA, 555 nt
Filed under: Triticum aestivum (bread wheat)
Lineage: Eukaryota; Viridiplantae; Streptophyta; Magnoliopsida; Poales; Poaceae
Description: partial small subunit ribosomal RNA
Source: RNAcentral